RNAcentral lists this transfer RNA (72 nucleotides) under Phrynosoma platyrhinos (Desert horned lizard). RNAcentral's name for it is "tRNA-OTHER". Lineage: Eukaryota; Metazoa; Chordata; Lepidosauria; Squamata; Phrynosomatidae. The record is from RNAcentral.
CUCUGCAUGGCAUAGUGGUUUGAGCAUUGGACUAGGACUCUAGAGACUAGGGUUCGAUUCCCAGCUCAGCCA